RNAcentral lists this long non-coding RNA (327 nucleotides) under Mytilus galloprovincialis (Mediterranean mussel). The record is from RNAcentral. Lineage: Eukaryota; Metazoa; Mollusca; Bivalvia; Mytilida; Mytilidae.
AUCGGCAAAUGGUAAGUCAAAUUCAAUGUUUAAAGACAACGUUUCUCUCGAGAAGUUAUUCUCUAAAUACAACUUGUUAUGGAACUAACAAGCCCACAUUAUACGGAAAUAGUCUGGUUAUUACUUAGUCUGGUAAAUGGUUUCGGUACAUGUAUAUUUAAAUCGCUUGGAAUUAGCGUGUGUUACUUGCCCAGGGUAAAGUCGUACUGAACCUUAUCCUUUCUCUCUACCGUAUUUAUACUUUGGUAAACCAUUACCAAAAUGGUUUACCAUUUACCAUUUCGGCUUACCAUUUACCUAAAUUACCAAACCCAGAGCCGACGUCAU